Lathyrus oleraceus (garden pea) is the source of this 2612-nucleotide long non-coding RNA. RefSeq lists it as uncharacterized. The record is from RefSeq and is a predicted model, not a curated record. The transcript is spliced from 6 exons. Lineage: Eukaryota; Viridiplantae; Streptophyta; Magnoliopsida; Fabales; Fabaceae.
ACAUAAUUAAAUCGGGACAAAAAAAAUUAACGAGCAAUGCUUCAGUGUAAGUGCAAGAGAAUUGUCUAAUUAUAAGAAAGCCCAAGAGUAAGUUGUGUGAGGUUGACGACGAUGCUUAAAGGCAAUCGACUUGCAAGGGUGUGGAGAUGAGGAAAUUGCAGCUAAGUACUGUGCUCAAAACCGGUUUAUGCAUCAUGUCAACAUUGAAUGAUCAUGUGCGACCAACUGAAACGCGGUGAAAUUCUAUUGUUAUCUCGAUGAAAUAAUCAUGGAUAAACAACAUAAGAGUGGUUGAAUCCAUAAAUUAAAAUCAAUGCUUCGUCAAUUAAAAUAAAUAAAAGCGGUAAACAUUAAAAAACAAUGAGUAUCGGAGAAAUUAUAAUAAAACAUGAACAUGGGAGGAUUAAAAAGAAUAACGUAAAAAGAAAUUAAAGUGUUGCAAAACCAAACAUGCCACAGACCAUGAGUUACCAUCUCCACCUAACCAUGAGUUACCAGUUAUCAAACUAGGACCAACAAAAACCUAAAUACUAAGCUGAAACUUCAAAAGAGAAAAAAACAAACAAAAAGGCCAACUAAUGGCCCGUUGGAGUAAGUUGGGCCAAAGCCCACGACAAUGGCCAUAUCUUGAAAAUGGAACAGGUCAAGAGUCCAACUGUCACCCUAGCCGCCUGGCUGUUUGGUGACAGAAACCGAAGAGUCCAACGGUCACACUAUAAUGCCAACUGUCGGUAUUAAUGAAUGGUGGUUGUAAUAGAAAGCCACACGAGUCCCAAUGGCACAGCAAACGAGCAGACAAUAAAUGGUUUCAAUCAUUUCAAAUGAAAAAGUAAUAAAAUAAAAUACAGGACAAUGUUUAAAGAGGAAUCAGUAAUGAAUAGUAAAAAUAAACGAAUCUCUUCCCUAAACGAAACCCAAAUUAUUUUCAGAGAAAAAAAUGAACCUUCUCAAUUUGAGGAGAUCCAAAAAUGGAUGACUGCGACAACGACGAACGUCGACGACGGAGAUGAAACCCGACUGGAAAGCAACAAAAAGAAUUAUUUACAAAGAGGUCAAAUGACGAUUGGGCGGCGGACGCCUGAAUCUUUCAGUCUUUCACCAAUCGAUUCCCACCGGUGCACUCAAAACUCGCCUCCCUUGCCUUCGGUAUGAGCUUCGUCCAAUGGCGGUGAAAAAAGGGUUUGUGUCUUCUUAUAGGUGCGAACAAAUGGGGACCACGGGAGUGGAUUGGAAGUUCCCAGUGGUAAAUAAUUGCUUUCUCAACCUUGUGGUCCCUCUGCUCAACUCUUCCACUCGUCCUUUUACCGUCGGUAACAAACAAAUUACCUCCCUUCCUCACUUAGACGAAAUAGGAUAUGCUUCUUCUUCUUUUUUUCUUUUCGAAAUUACACUGAUUUCAUGUUGUUGUUAAUUUGGAGAACAAGGUGCCGUGCUGAAUUUAGGAUGAUGAUUGCAAGCGAUAUGGACAAUGGAACCUAAGUUGGAGCAAACUUUUGCCACACACGGAUAAUUACGAGCAGGAUAAGUGAGAGUUUCAAGUACUUUCCGCGAGAGUAAUGGAUGGACUCCAUCAGAAGAUUGAGGACGUGAGUACGUGACCAUACAAUCUGAACAGUGGCUCAAAAAGGAUAGCAGAACUGGCAGGCUUUCUCGCAUCAAGCAUCAACAAGUCCAUCAGAAUUCUCACCAAAGAUUGCUCUUGCUUCACUAUGAGCACAAGGAUUUAAAAGGGACCUCUGCAGUUUGGCCCUUCUGCUUGUUAUCAAGUUAGUACUGGUCUGAGUUUUGACUUGCUUCAAUAGCCCGAAUAAGCAUAUGGUGGUUGGAAGAAGUUAUAGACACUUUGGUGCCAAGACUAAAACCAGGCGUGUUGUUACACUGUUGUCCAAUUACUGUAGAAUUGGUACGGCUUGAGAUAUAGAGAACAAUAUUUGGAAGAGGUUCUACGUCGUGAUUAGCAGAUCACCCUGUCAUAACUGUAUAUAAAUCAAUCCAUUCUUUGACAAUAACUGAUGAGUUAGAUGGUUAACCAAUUCAGAAACGUCCAGUCUUUGAUCUUCCCUACAAAAACUCUAGCAGCUUCUGUACAAGAUAGUUUCUCAAAAGGAAUCAUCAUCAGGUGACGACCAACAUUCUGAUCCCUCGCCGUAUGAAUCAUGUGGCUUUGAGUAUGAUAUCGUGGCACCACAACCAGUUACGAAUCCUGUUCUAACAGGAAAAUGACGAGAAAAUUGAAGAAUUAUUCUCAACCCUCCUUGUGAGUAUGGAUAUUUUAAAGCAAUGGUAGCACCGCUCAAGAAUGAAUUUCGGCCUCUUUUCAUGUCAUUCACUUGAAAUUAAUAUCACGUUUAAAAACCAAGGCUUCCCAAUAUCUGUAUACGGAUAAAGGGAUUGAGGAAGCUGAUGAUAAUAAAGUGGUGAUGCAGGAACGUUGUUGUACGUGAUAAAAUUCGUAGGAAGAUGAUUUUCCAUUGCAAAAGAAAGACCUUGUUGGUGAAGCAUGCACCGGUCGAUGUUGUGGCUCACAACUUAAUUUUUUGUAAAUCUGUAGGUUUAUGACUUGUAAUGACCAUAAUGUUGAUGUGAAUGAAAAAUAGGUAACGUUGCAAUCA